AAAAGAAAGAAAGAAAAAAAAAAAAAAGUAGUGACACCAAGCCUGUGCUUUGUGUAUAUAUAUGUUGCCCUACCCCAACCCUGAAGGCACCCAGUCUCCGAAACCGCCUUUCUCUAUUCCUGCGUAUCCCUUCUGUCGUCGUGCUCAUUUACAAGCAAGAUCUUGAUCUUGUAUUCCAUCCCUGUUCCCGUCCGUGAUUUUGCCGGUGGGUCUAUUCCCCCCUUCUGCUUGCUAGGUGUGAGCCGGGGAUCAGUUUCAGAGAAGACAAAAAGAAAGAGAUGGCCGAUACUGGUGUGGUGACCGUUUACGGGAAUGGUGCCAUUACUGAGGCCAAGAAGUCCCCCUUCUCCGUGAAGGUGGGUCUGGCUCAGAUGCUUCGUGGUGGUGUUAUAAUGGACGUUGUCAACGCGGAGCAGGCCAGGAUUGCCGAAGAAGCCGGUGCCUGCGCGGUGAUGGCCCUUGAACGUGUUCCCGCUGACAUCAGGGCACAGGGAGGUGUUGCUCGGAUGAGCGAUCCGGGCCUCAUUAAGGAGAUCAAGCAGGCCGUCACCAUCCCUGUUAUGGCCAAAGCAAGGAUAGGCCAUUUCGUCGAGGCUCAGAUCCUCGAAGCCAUCGGCGUCGACUAUGUUGAUGAGAGCGAGGUUCUUACUGUAGCCGACGAGGAGCACCACAUCAACAAGCACAACUUCCGUGUCCCCUUUGUCUGUGGCUGCCGGAACCUGGGCGAGGCCCUCAGGCGGAUAAGGGAGGGGGCGGCCAUGAUCAGGACUAAAGGAGAAGCUGGGACGGGGAAUAUUAUAGAAGCCGUCAGGCACGUGAGGUCCGUCAUGGGUGAUAUCAGGAUCCUCCGCAACAUGGACGAUGACGAAGUUUUCUCUUUCGCGAAGAAGAUAUCCGCUCCUUAUGACCUGGUGAUGCAGACCAAGCAGCUUGGCAGGCUACCAGUGGUGCACUUCGCUGCCGGUGGCGUAGCCACGCCUGCAGACGCUGCCUUGAUGAUGCAGUUGGGCUGUGAUGGCGUCUUUGUGGGCUCUGGCAUCUUCAAGAGUGGUGAUCCGUCUCGGCGUGCUCGCGCCAUAGUCCAGUCUGUAACCCAUUACAGCGAUCCUGAUAUCCUUGCAGAAGUGAGCUGCGGCUUAGGUGAAGCUAUGGUUGGCCUUAACCUCAAGGAUGAUAAAGUUGAGAGGUAUGCAAGCCGGUCAGAGUGAUCACGGAGCAGCGGUAGCAGCAGCAGAAAGAAGAAACUCGAGAAUGAGCACGACUCUAGCCCAGACCUUCCACAUUACGGCGGAAACUACCAACUUCCAACAUUUGUUCAUCCAGCCUCUUUCGAAAGAGGCUGCCAACCAGUGCUGCAAUUCUUGAGAUACAGCAGAGUGUGGAAUUCUCCUCCACCUGAAUUUAUCAACAAUGAGAUGGCAAGAGUAAGCCACAUAUUUGCAACCAAGGAAAAGAUGCUAGGAGUCUUCCACAUGGUUCAAAGUAACACAACGCACAUCUACUAGCAAUUUGAAGCGACAUUGCAGUCUCUCUGGCGUAGGCACUUUGUUCUCAUAAGCUAGAAAGGGAAUCCACUGGAAUCUGAGGUGGCUAUAGCUAUAUUACAUAUGAAAAGCCCUCCACUUCAUGUAUAGAGUGGAGCUGCGAACACGAUCCCAUUUACUGUUCCUUCUAAAUUUUUGCACCUAUUUACCAUUCCAAAUCGGAAAUGUCUGUUCUGGAUAUAUCAGCCUGGUUAGUUAACUGGAUUUUACUAGUGAUCCGACUAGCCAAGUUAAGGUUCUAACCAUGUCUGAAAUCGGAUAACAUAUACUUAAUAGAAGUAUUUAGGAUAGGUAUCAGUUGGGGACAAAUUUUCGACUGGAACCGAGUUCAAAAGAGUAUAAGAUUGCCACAGGUCAAUCCAAAAUUUGGCCUUCUCGCCGUUUCUCACUCUCCAUUCCACCUGAUUUUUAACCUUGUUCUGCCGCUUAAUCAUGUUCUUCCAUAACCAAGAUUAGAAAAGGUAGUCCUGCCUACUAGUUAUCGAAAAGGGACUUGAUAAUAUGUUGGCGCAUUUCUAUACAACACAAAAGCCAGGAAUCCAGAGGUGGUUUCAACUUACGGAUUUUCGUUUCAAUUCAAAAAAAGGGACUUGGUUGGUAUGUGAAGCAGAUGACACGACAAUAACUGAAUCUUGAUAAUACUAAUGCACACGAGCACAGUGUUUUUGGAGCACGCUUCUAAGUUGGAAGUAUCAAUCUGGAACAUGUAUUCACUCAAGGCACCUCUGAAUUAUUGGCUCGAGAAGUGAUCGGGGUGGCUGGUUUGUCUGUAGAUGGCCUGUUUGGAUAUUUAAUUGUCCCAUCUACCGUGCGCAGAAACAGCCGUGACAGUUGAUUUGUAUUGGCUGCUUUCACAAUCUUUGCACACGCAGCGUCAUAAAAUAUGCUGAUUCCUGUUGAGUUUCCACCGCUAAGAUGUGAGCAUUAUCUCUCUGCUAAGGAGUGUAAAUCCUUUCUGCCGGCUGCUUGUUAUAGACAGAUCCUGAAAUUAAGCACUGUGUGAAAGGAAGCAUAACACGCAGCGUGAUAAGAUAAGUAGAUGGACGGUUAACAUCUGUACAGUACAGAGAUUCCUAUUGAGUUUCCACCACUAAGAUGUAAACAUUAUCUCUGUGCUGAGUGUAAAUCCUUUCUGCCGCUGCUUGUUAUAGACAGAUCCUGAAAUUAAGUGCUGUCUGAAAGCCAGCAUUCUUAACACGGACAAAGUUUACUGUUCAUCUGCGGCUGGACAAGUGGUUAGGUAAAAAAAGUAUCUUAUGUUUUAGGUAUUUAAUUGCAAUAAGAUCAGUUUCUUUGUUA
Molecule: RNA transcript, 2843 nt
Organism: Nymphaea colorata (pocket water lily)
Lineage: Eukaryota; Viridiplantae; Streptophyta; Magnoliopsida; Nymphaeales; Nymphaeaceae
Gene name: pyridoxal 5'-phosphate synthase subunit PDX1.3
Exons: 3
Source: RefSeq, a predicted model, not a curated record